GACGAACGCUGGCGGCGUGCUUAACACAUGCAAGUCGAACGGUGAAGCACCUUCCUUUUGGUGGGUGUGGAUGAGUGGCGAACGGGUGAGUAACACGUGAGUAACCUGCCCCCUUCUUCUGGAUAACCGCAUGAAAGUGUGGCUAAUACGGGAUAUUCUGUGCCUGCUGCAUGGUGGGUGUGGGAAAGAUGCGCUUUUGGGUGUUUGUGGUGGGGGAUGGGCUCGCGGGCUAUCAGCUUGUUGGUGGGGUGAUGGCCUACCAAGGCGGUGACGGGUAGCCGGCCUGAGAGGGUGGACGGGCAAACUGGGACUGAGACACGGCCGAGACUAAUACGGGAGGCAGCAGUGGGGAAUAUUGCACGAUGGGCGCAAGCCUGAUGCAGCGACGCCGCGUGAGGGAGGGAGGCAUUCGGGAUGUAAACCUCUUUCGAGAGUGAAGCAGGCCUGUCGCUUGUGGGUGGGUUGACGGUAGCUGGAUAAGAAGCGCCGGCUAACUACGUG
This 501-nucleotide ribosomal RNA is filed under the name uncultured bacterium. RNAcentral describes it as "partial 16S ribosomal RNA". It matches the Rfam family "Bacterial small subunit ribosomal RNA", at positions 28 to 507 of the family's 1533-position model. The record is from RNAcentral.